This 397-nucleotide ribosomal RNA is filed under the name uncultured bacterium. RNAcentral's name for it is "partial 16S ribosomal RNA". It matches the Rfam family "Bacterial small subunit ribosomal RNA", at positions 523 to 918 of the family's 1533-position model. The record is from RNAcentral.
AUACGUAGGGGGCGAGCGUUGUCCGGAAUGAUUGGGCGUAAAGGGCGCGUAGGCGGCGGUGUAAGUCUGGAGUGAAAGUCCCGCAUUCAAUGUGGGAAUUGCUUUGGAUACUGCAGUGCUAGAGUGCGGAAGAGGUAAGUGGAAUUCCCAGUGUAGCGGUGAAAUGCGUAGAGAUUGGGAGGAACACCAGUGGCGAAGGCGACUUACUGGGCCGUAACUGACGCUGAGGCGCGAAAGCGUGGGGAGCGAACAGGAUUAGAUACCCUGGUAGUCCACGCGGUAAACGAUGAAUGCUAGGUGUUGCGGGUAUCGACCCCUGCAGUGCCGGAGUAAACACAAUAAGCAUUCCGCCUGGGGAGUACGGCCGCAAGGUUGAAACUCAAAUGAAUUGGCGGGG